This 778-nucleotide ribosomal RNA is filed under the name uncultured Neocallimastigales. RNAcentral describes it as "partial large subunit ribosomal RNA". It matches the Rfam family "Eukaryotic large subunit ribosomal RNA", at positions 23 to 646 of the family's 3401-position model. The record is from RNAcentral. Lineage: Eukaryota; Fungi; Neocallimastigomycota; Neocallimastigomycetes; Neocallimastigales.
AGAGAGAGACAUGCGCGCAUAUCAAUAAGCGGAGGAAAAGAAACUAACUAAGGAUUCCCUCAGUAACGGCGAGUGAAGCGGGAAGAGCUCAAAUUUGAAAUCUUCAAGGUUUUACCUUGACGAAUUGUAGUUUAAAGAAGUGUUUUCUGUUGGAGUUUUGGUAAAAGUUCUUUGGAAUAGGACAUCAUAGAGGGUGAGAAUCCCGUAUUUGACCAUUACUUUCAGCUUUGUGAUACACUUUCAAAGAGUCGGAUUGUUUGGGAAUGCAGUCCAAAAUGGGUGGUAAAUUUCAUCUAAAGCUAAAUACUGGCGAGAGACCGAUAGCGAACAAGUACCGUGAGGGAAAGAUGAAAAGAACUUUGAAAAGGAGAGUUAAACAGUACGUGAAAUUGUCAAAAGGGAAGCGUUUGACACCAGUGUUGUUUUCUCGAAAAUCAAUUAAAAAGAGUUAGGAUUUUGUUGUGUAUUGACCUUAUCAGCUUCUGCAUUUCAUUUUCUUGUCUUUUUUAAUGCACUUUUCGUUUAACAAGUCAACAUCAAUUUCUUUUGUUGUAAAAGGGUCAUUGGAAGGUGGCUUUCUUUUCGGAGAAAGUGUUUAUAGCCUUUGGCCUCUGCAAUCGGAGAGAUUGAGGUCUGCAGCGUAGAUCCUUCGGGGUUAGAUACAUUUGUGCUAAGUUAUAGCCUUUCAUAGACAACUUGUUGACUAUGAUCAGUCAUGUAGCUUACUCGCUUAUGCUAUUUUACCUACGCUUAGGAUGUUGAUGUGAUACUGCGAGCA